UCCCUUCUGUAUCUUCGUUUUGAAUCAACAGCUUGGUAUCUUUGGGCAAGAGACAGUAACCAGAGCCCGGAAUACUCACUCGAGAAUCUCCAAGGUCCUGUUCACAGCCAGGGCAUCCCCUAGUGCCUGGGCCCCCUGGGUGCCAAUGGAGGCCACCUGCAGACUACGAGGAAGAGAUGCGGUCAGUGCGGACGGCCUGGGGCUCUCGGGCCCGCGCCCCACCCAGCCCAGCUUCCGUGCACCCUUGUCCCUGCUUCUCCAGCCCUGGACUUAGAGCUGCAGGUAGCAACAUAGCGCAGAAAACCAUCGGCCUGUGAGCUGUCCAAAGAACGCUAUGCGUCCGGCCUGUGCUGAUGCUGAGGACAGAGGCACUGGGCAGCCAUGAAGCAGCUCACUCAGGAUGGGGACAGAUUUACAUUUUGGAAAGGUGUUUGACCAGCAGUGUGAGUGGAUGGACCGGAGGUGGAGGCUGUUCCACAGGGGAUGGCAUGUGUAUCUCUGGCUGCAAGAAAAAGGUAAUCCUGCUAAUAAUAGCUGGUCCUCGCACGGCGCUUCCUCUGUGCCUGGCCCAUCGUCCUCAGCACUUGCCUUGAAUUCAGCACCCACUGAAGCUGCUUCAACAAUCAGAAGGCGGAGUCUACAGGCAAGGGUUCACCUGGAACCCAGUUCCUGAGAGGUGACCUCCAAACACUUGGAAUGUCCUGCCUGGUGAGGUAUCUGAGCCUCUGGAACUUUCUGGAAUGGGCAGAAACAAGCAGCCCACGUGUUUCCAAACCACUUCUCCUUGCAAGCGCCUCUGGCCAGGUCCACGAGGGCUUUCACUUGCCCAGCUGGGGAGCCGGGGCCUCGGCCCUGGCCUGCUUCCCCACCAGUCCGCACCUCCUGCUUCCUCAUGGGGUCCGGGAUUGCUGCCAGGAGCUGUGAAGACAGGGCCCAGGUGCUGUGUGCCACAUCACCACCCUGGCCUGG
This is a long non-coding RNA of Suricata suricatta (meerkat), 969 nucleotides long. RefSeq lists it as uncharacterized. The record is from RefSeq and is a predicted model, not a curated record. NCBI's taxonomy places the organism in Eukaryota, Metazoa, Chordata, Mammalia, Carnivora, Herpestidae. The transcript has 5 exons.